This 396-nucleotide ribosomal RNA is filed under the name uncultured bacterium. RNAcentral describes it as "partial 16S ribosomal RNA". It matches the Rfam family "Bacterial small subunit ribosomal RNA", at positions 338 to 731 of the family's 1533-position model. The record is from RNAcentral.
CCUACGGGAGGCAGCAGUGAGGAAUAUUGGUCAAUGGGCGUACGCCUGAACCAGCCAAGUCGCGUGAGGGAAGACGGUCCUAUGGAUUGUAAACCUCUUUUGUCAGGGAGCAAAGCCCGCUACGAGUGCCUGGACUGAGAGUACCUGAAGAAAAAGCAUCGGCUAACUCCGUGCCAGCAGCCGCGGUAAUACGGAGGAUGCGAGCGUUAUCCGGAUUUUUUGGGUUUAAAGGGUGCGGAGGCGGAAUGUCAAGUCAGCGGUAAAAGCCCGGGGCUCAACCCCGCCCCGCCGUUGAAACUGGCGGUCUUGAGUGGGCGAGAGGUAUGCGGAAUGCGCGGUGUAGCGGUGAAAUGCAUAGAUAUCGCGCAGAACUCCGAUUGCGAAGGCAGCAUACCG